UACGUAGGGGGCAAGCGUUAUCCGGAUUUACUGGGUGUAAAGGGAGCGUAGACGGUAAAGCAAGUCUGAAGUGAAAUGCCAGUGCUCAACACUGGAACUGCUUUGGAAACUGUUUGGCUGGAGUGCCGGAGAGGUAAGUGGAAUUCCUAGUGUAGCGGUGAAAUGCGUAGAUAUUAGGAGGAACACCAGUGGCGAAGGCGGCUUACUGGACUGUAACUGACGUUGAGGCUCGAAAGCGUGGGGAGCAAACAGG
RNAcentral lists this ribosomal RNA (253 nucleotides) under uncultured bacterium. RNAcentral's name for it is "partial 16S ribosomal RNA". It matches the Rfam family "Bacterial small subunit ribosomal RNA", at positions 524 to 776 of the family's 1533-position model. The record is from RNAcentral.